CAGCCAGAAAGGGCUCCUUUUAUUUAUCAUCCGAGAAAUAUUUCAUUUCCUCUCAGAGCACCGAGCGUCCUGCAGCUGCGACGUGUGGAUUUCCAGCCUGAGCUGGAGAGGAUCCAGAUUUCUGUUGUGUUCUCGGAUCAUCUCUGCCUCUUUCACACCAAGGUCAACAUGGUCUCUCCUCCAUCCUCUCCUCUAACCGGGGAUGACCUCAUCCGUUUGAUUGCUGGAGCGUGAAAUCUGCUCUUUGUUCAGAUGUUUUGUUUUAUGAUCUCCAUAUUUGCAGUUUUAGUUGGAGUUUAGGAGUUCCGGCUGGGAUAAACUUGAUGAUGUAAAUUCCUUGCUCCACUCCAGCCUUCAGGGUUUGUGUUUCUUCCCAAAGCAGGUGUUGAUCAGAGCCCUUCACACUGCGGUCUGCGAGCUUAAAGUUCCACCACACAGUAUGCAGCUUGUGUGUGUGUGUGUGUGUGUGUGUGUGUAAGUGAGAGGCACGGCUCCCGCUGCAGACUCUACCUGCGAUUAGACGAGCUGCGGGGGUAACUGUCCCCUUUCCAGCCACUCCGUGACACGCCACAGACGGGUGUCACAUCUCCCCUUCUCCUAAAGGCCCGCCAGUUAUCUCCGGUGACACCAGAUAUGGAUGCAGCAGAGGGAAAAAAGCCCGGCCUCAGACGCGCGUGUGUGUCCUUUAAACUUGUACUGUAUAAAUCACAAGUCAUUACCAGAGGUCAGCGGCUGAGGAGCAACCAUUGGAUGGUUUGAUCGCGAGGGCCAGCCUGGUUGGAGGAGAGAGGAUUUAUCUGGCAGUUGGAUCUCUGGAGAGGCAGCCAUAUUUUAUGUGACUAGAGAUGUAAUAACAGGCCUUUGACAAAUCCCCGACGGCCCGGCUCCUGCAGCCUCGCUGCGCAGAGCCAGUGCAGCUGGAACAGCAGAUUAUGAGCAGCACCAUUAGCAGAAUGAUGUGCACAGACUCAGCAAAGUAUUUUUCUUUCUCUCUCUCUCUCUCUCUCUCUCUUUUUCUCUCUCUCUUCAGACAAACACGGUGGCACCCGAGAAGUCAGAAGCUUUUCAGUCACACAUAACAGGUUCUUCUCAGUUAAUUAGACAAAAAUGUAAAUUUGAUUUUGGAAUUUAAUUUUAAAAAAAUGUAAGAUUAUAUUUGAUAUACAUUGUUAAAGCACAGAGUGGUAUGUUUCAAGUGUUAUUUUUUUGUUCAUUUUUGCCUUACAGCUAAUUCAAACCCCAAAUUUUGUUUCCCAUGAAAUGACAACAUUAAAUAUACAUGUAAGGAUUGUUAAUCAAAUAUAACUGGAUUAUUAAUACAGAACUCUAUUCUCUUAAGCAGCAGUCAUUCUUCCAAAGUGCAAACCUCUGCCACACUUUUUCCUUUCACUUAAUUUUCCACUUACUUGGAUCCAGCACUCUGAACAGCUUCUUUGACCUGAACUUUGACUUGACCGCCUUAUGGAUGGUGUUAGUAACUGUCUGUUGAACUAUAUGGGCCAUAAUAUGGACUCAAUAUUUUUGUAUUUAAAAAAUCCCAUUUCUUUUGGUAUUUUUUAAUGUUAAAAUUUUAUUUAAAAAAACAAAAAAACAGCAAAAAAACAAAAAACAGCUGCAAAAUAAAUACAGACGCUUGAAACAUAUUCUGUACAUAAUAAAUCUGUAUGAUAAAUAAGUCCCAACUUUUGAAUGACAAAAACCACAGAAAUAAUUUGACUUCUCGAGGAUAUUGAAGUAUAUUGACCUCAACCCUCAACUACUAACAUUGUUACAAAUAAAAUGUUAAAGAAUUCUCAAUUUGGCAGUCAAAAUCUGAUUUAAAAAUGAAACAGAUGUGUUUAAGCUUUAAAUAUCGUAAAUAUUUAAAGUUAUUUAGAAUAUAUCAAAGAUCUUGAUGAAUUUUCUUGGUGUAGUGAAUUAAAUUUGCAUUAAUAUAAUUAAACAUAUUUCUAUACAUGGGGAAAACCCAACUAAAAAUCACACAAUUUAAAACAUUUGCACCUUGGUUCAUUUGUUGUCUAACAAAACUUAAUGUACUGAUUUCAUUGUUUACAACACAAGGAAAAAACAUUAUUGUAAUGAAGUGCAUUAAAAUAUAAAGUCAAACACAACCACCCAAAAAAACCUUUGACAACUUGUAAUAAAAAACCACAAAAUCCUAAUUUAAUGUUAGUUAUAUAGAGCUAAAGUCAAACAAAAAUCCUGAAGCAAAUUACAUAAGCACCAAGAGGUGAAAUGUUAAUAAAAAAUAAAGAAAAUAAUGAAAAAAAUCAAUUUUACUUGCAUACUGGAUUAUUCAAAAGGAAUAAUUAAGCUUAUUACAACACAACAUAUGUUAUCAUAUCAUUCAUUCAUUUUAAUUAGCAGGAAACAAGAAAUCUGUUGAAAGGGAGUCCUGGACAAGUUAAAGUGAAACUGUUUCAUGCAUCCUUAUUUGAA
Molecule: long non-coding RNA, 2439 nt
Organism: Xiphophorus couchianus (Monterrey platyfish)
Lineage: Eukaryota; Metazoa; Chordata; Actinopteri; Cyprinodontiformes; Poeciliidae
Exons: 2
Source: RefSeq, a predicted model, not a curated record